RNAcentral lists this ribosomal RNA (497 nucleotides) under uncultured bacterium. RNAcentral's name for it is "partial 16S ribosomal RNA". It matches the Rfam family "Bacterial small subunit ribosomal RNA", at positions 28 to 507 of the family's 1533-position model. The record is from RNAcentral.
GAUGAACGCUGGCGGCGUGCCUAAUACAUGCAAGUCGAGCGAACAGACGAGGAGCUUGCUCCUCUGACGUUAGCGGCGGACGGGUGAGUAACACGUGGAUAACCUACCUAUAAGACUGGGAUAACUUCGGGAAACCGGAGCUAAUACCGGAUAAUAUAUUGAACCGCAUGGUUCAAUAGUGAAAGACGGUUUUGCUGUCACUUAUAGAUGGAUCCGCGCCGCAUUAGCUAGUUGGUAAGGUAACGGCUUACCAAGGCAACGAUGCGUAGCCGACCUGAGAGGGUGAUCGGCCACACUGGAACUGAGACACGGUCCAGACUCCUAAGGGAGGCAGCAGUAGGGAAUCUUCCGCAAUGGGCGAAAGCCUGACGGAGCAACGCCGCGUGAGUGAUGAAGGUCUUCGGAUCGUAAAACUCUGUUAUUAGGGAAGAACAAAUGUGUAAGUAACUAUGCACGUCUUGACGGUACCUAAUCAGAAAGCAACGGCUAACUACGUG